CAGUCGCCGCGGGAAUACGAAGGGUGCAAGCGUUACUCGGAAUUACUGGGCGUAAAGCGUGUGUAGGUGGUUGUUUAAGUCUGUCGUGAAAGCCCUGGGCUCAACCUGGGAAUUGCGAUGGAUACUGGGCGACUAGAGUGCGGUAGAGGAUAGUGGAAUUUCCGGUGUAGCGGUGAAAUGCGUAGAGAUCGGGAGGAACAUCAGUGGCGAAGGCGGCCAUCUGGGACAACACUGACGCUGAGGCACGAAAGCGUGGGGAGCAAACAGGAUUAGAUACCCCCGUAGUCCCUGUCUCUUAUAC
This 301-nucleotide ribosomal RNA is filed under the name uncultured bacterium. RNAcentral's name for it is "partial 16S ribosomal RNA". It matches the Rfam family "Bacterial small subunit ribosomal RNA", at positions 509 to 807 of the family's 1533-position model. The record is from RNAcentral.